GUACAAAACAAAUUUCUACAAGUACGAAAAACUGUCACGUGACUUUUGGCACUAAUUUUUCGCCUUGCUGAUCCACACGCAAAUGCCUUCAGAUCCAGACACAUGCUUGUAAACUGUCAUAAGAGAAGAAGAAACGCUAGCGUGAGGGGCGAUUUGAACACGAUGAGCGGCCAACAGGGAUUGUACCUACCACAUUUAGACUGGGAGGACAGUGGCCUGCCUGAUGUGUCACUGUUCCUGAGAUGGGCGAUGUACUGAGUGAUGAACAAAUGGCAGCACUAAGGGCAGCCAUAAAUCCCCUGGGACACACCCAAUCACAUGGCUCAGACAUCUACCUACUUACUGUGCAGUAUGUCCAUCACUUACUAGGCUUACAGUAAAACGUACUCAGCAAAGGACCUGAUUCAAUGCAAUUGUAGCACAAAUACAAAAAGAACACUUAUUUACAGAACAAUGCCCCUGCUAAUAACUGGUU
Molecule: long non-coding RNA, 475 nt
Organism: Carassius carassius (crucian carp)
Lineage: Eukaryota; Metazoa; Chordata; Actinopteri; Cypriniformes; Cyprinidae
Exons: 3
Source: RefSeq, a predicted model, not a curated record